AUAAAGGCAAUGAAGAGAAGAGUACGCGGGAAGGAAGAGCAAAGAGAGCCCCCACAGGUGGGAAGGGGCCUUGGAUAGCCUGCUGAACAUGGCCUCUGAGCCUCUCUGCUGAAUCAUCAGGCAGACCGGGAAUUCCCGUUACAGAAAAGAAGUAUCAAGGCAGAGCCGGCGUACUUCAUAAGGCUUUUCCGGCGACGGAAAAGUGAAUCUGGGUGGUACCACGAAUAGAAUCCUUCGUCCCUUUC
This 245-nucleotide non-coding RNA is filed under the name Dialister succinatiphilus. RNAcentral describes it as "T-box sequence". It matches the Rfam family "T-box leader". Rfam says of the family: Uncharged tRNA acts as the effector for transcription antitermination of genes in the T-box leader family. T-boxes are found upstream of many aminoacyl-tRNA synthetase genes and some amino acid biosynthetic genes usually in Gram-positive bacteria. The record is from RNAcentral. Lineage: Bacteria; Bacillati; Bacillota; Negativicutes; Veillonellales; Veillonellaceae.